Coregonus clupeaformis (lake whitefish) is the source of this 1292-nucleotide long non-coding RNA. RefSeq lists it as uncharacterized. The transcript is spliced from 2 exons. Lineage: Eukaryota; Metazoa; Chordata; Actinopteri; Salmoniformes; Salmonidae. The record is from RefSeq and is a predicted model, not a curated record.
GAACCAUUUCCCUGUUUGACUUCUAGGUUUUAUGGGUGUUAUGACUUAUACUGUGGUACUCUAUAUCAGGUAAUAGAGGAGCAGUGAUACCGUACUACAGGUAAUAGAGGAGCAGUGAUACCGUAUUACAGGUAAUAGAGGAGCAGUGAUACCGUAUCACAGGUAAUAGAGGAGCAGUGAUACCGUAUUACAGGUAAUAGAGGAGCAGUGAUACCGUAUUACAGGUUAUAGAGGAGCAGUGAUACCAUAUUACAGGUAAUAGAGGAGCAGUGAUACCGUAUUACAGGUAAUAGAGGAGCAGUGAUACCGUAUUACAGGUAAUAGAGGAGCAGUGAUACCAUACUACAGGUAAUAGAGGAGCAGUGAUACCGUAUUACAGGUAAUAGAGGAGCAGUGAUACCGUAUUACAGGUAAUAGAGGAGCAGUAAUACAUUAUUACAGGUAAUAGAGGAGCAGUGAUACCAUAUUACAGCUAACAGAGGAGCAGUGAUACCAUAUUACAGCUAACAGAGGAGCAGUGAUACCAUAUUACAGUUAACAGAGGAGCAGCGAUACCAUAUUACAGCUAACAGAGGAGCAGUGAUACCAUAUUACAGCUAACAGAGGAGCAGCGAUACCAUAUUACAGCUAACAGAGGAGCAGCGAUACCAUAUUACAGUUAACAGAGGAGCAGUGAUACCAUAUUACAGCUAACAGAGGAGCAGUGAUACCAUAUUACAGCUAACAGAGGAGCAGUGAUACCAUAUUACAGUUAACAGAGGAGCAGUGAUACCAUAUUACAGCUAACAGAGGAGCAGUGAUACCAUAUUACAGCUAACAGAGGAGCAGUGAUACCAUAUUACAGGUAAUAGAGGAGCAGUGAUACCAUAUUACAGCUAACAGAGGAGCAGCGAUACCAUAUUACAGGUAAUAGAGGAGCAGUGAUACCAUAUUACAGGUAAUAGAGGAGCAGUGAUACCAUAUUACAGGUAAUAGAGGAGCUGUGAUUAUGGGGUCAAAAAUAUUAUAAAUACUUUACAGACUUUAGAAAUACACCAAAAACAGGAAAAUCUACCCUCAGAAAUCAGUCAGACUAAUGAAUAAAAUGAAAUGUGUUUGAAUCCUAAAUCGACCCUUAGCCCCUGUUUCACAGGCCUAGGUACUCCAGUAUUCUAGUCUACUACUGUAUAUCACCCUAUUCCCUACAUAGUGCACUACUUUUGGCCUGAGCUCUGGAUUAGAGACUUCCACAGGGAUCAGUCUUGUGUUCUGUUGGUGUUUCUGUCAGCUAGAAGAAUAAAGACACACAUGUU